AGGGCAGUGUAGAGGAAAGACAUCAUUCAGGACCCUGGCCAUGGCACUUUAGUGAUCCCUAUUAAUUUAAGAAUCACAUCAGAAGGAAAUCGUGUACUGCAGCAAGAAGGUUCAACUUGGUAUCCACAGUGUUUUGCCUAUGGGUACGAUGCAUGGGUACUAUCAAAGAUUGUCUAGAUGAAAAGCCUGAGGACAGGUACAGCUGGCUCAAUCCUCUUGCCAAUAAUAUUCCACAACCCAGAGAGCAAGAAGACCCAAAUGAAACUGCCUUCAGGAUCCAAAAAGGUAAUUUUCUUGGCCAACAGAGCUGUUGUUAGUGUGAUGGCUGGUGGGGACAAAAUUGACAAACCUCUCUUAAAGGUUGGCAGUGAGUACCACAAAUAUAAAACAAAGAGGACCUGCUAGCCGCAUGGACCAUGUAUAUCCAUGAAUUCUGGGCAGCAUUUUUUGGAUGUGGCAAUUACCAGCACAUUGGCAGACACCAUGACAUCAGAAGAGAUGUCCCUACUGUGAUCAAAGUGGGUCUCACUGCUGCCCAUGGACAGAGAAAAAUACUCAGAACCACUGUUCAAGAAAAAGAGAACUAA
This 587-nucleotide long non-coding RNA is filed under the name Mus musculus (house mouse). RNAcentral describes it as "long non-coding RNA chr4:94395657-94396244". The record is from RNAcentral. Lineage: Eukaryota; Metazoa; Chordata; Mammalia; Rodentia; Muridae.